UACAGAGGUCUCAAGCGUUGUUCGGAUUCAUUGGGCGUAAAGGGUGCGUAGGCGGCGAGGUAAGUCGGAUGUGAAAUCCCGGGGCUCAACCCCGGAACUGCAUUCGAUACUGCCUUGCUUGAGUACUGGAGAGGAGACUGGAAUUUACGGUGUAGCAGUGAAAUGCGUAGAUAUCGUAAGGAAGACCAGUGGCGAAGGCGAGUCUCUGGACAGUUCCUGACGCUGAGGCACGAAGGCCAGGGGAGCAAACGGG
RNAcentral lists this ribosomal RNA (253 nucleotides) under uncultured bacterium. RNAcentral's name for it is "partial 16S ribosomal RNA". It matches the Rfam family "Bacterial small subunit ribosomal RNA", at positions 524 to 776 of the family's 1533-position model. The record is from RNAcentral.